This 506-nucleotide ribosomal RNA is filed under the name uncultured bacterium. RNAcentral describes it as "partial 16S ribosomal RNA". It matches the Rfam family "Bacterial small subunit ribosomal RNA", at positions 29 to 523 of the family's 1533-position model. The record is from RNAcentral.
AGUGAACGCUGGCGGUAGGCCUAACACAUGCAAGUCGAACGGCAGCACAGGAGAGCUUGCUCUCUGGGUGGCGAGUGGCGGACGGGUGAGGAAUACAUCGGAAUCUACUCUGUCGUGGGGGAUAACGUAGGGAAACUUACGCUAAUACCGCAUACGACCUACGGGUGAAAGCAGGGGACCUUCGGGCCUUGCGCGAUUGAAUGAGCCGAUGUCGGAUUAGCUAGUUGGCGGGGUAAAGGCCCACCAAGGCGACGAUCCGUAGCUGGUCUGAGAGGAUGAGCAGCCACACUGGAACUGAGACACGGUCCAGACUCCUACUGGAGGCAGCAGUGGGGAAUAUUGGACAAUGGGCGCAAGCCUGAUCCAGCCAUACCGCGUGGGUGAAGAAGGCCUUCGGGUUGUAAAGCCCUUUUGUUGGGAAAGAAAUCCAGCUGGCUAAUACCCGGUUGGGAUGACGGUACCCAAAGAAUAAGCACCGGCUAACUACGUGCCAGCCGCCGCCGUAA